GAUGUGUUUUAUACAUAAUAAUUUAAUAGAUAUAUAUUCAAAGAAAAUAUAUUUUCUUAUAUAAUUUCUUUUUAAAAUUAAAUUACAUGUAUUAAAUUAUUAUGUUAAUUAAAUAACAUCUUUUAAAGUAUGAUAUAUACUAUUAAAUUUUCACCUUUGUUCAAAUGGUCUUUGAUUAGAAGUUAAUUAGGCCUUCUCAAGUUCAAAUCCUUGUUAAAAAAAAAAAAGUUUUUUUCACAUGAGACAUAUUGUCUUUAGGGAAAAAAAGAAAAAAGUUCUGGGGUAGUUCAAAUGGAAACAAGCUUUAAAGCUCACCAUGAGCCUGCAGUUCAAAACCUGGUUUUGGCAUUUGUUUUUUUUUUUGUUUUUUUUACCCCUCUAAAUGAUGGUUAAGUGGUAGCUAGAUUAAGUGUCAUGUCACCCUUCUAAGAGCCUGCCCAACUCGUUAAACUCAAUCCCGGUUCACUGAUUACCUUACCAAUUCUGAGGUUUUUUUUUUCAAAAAAGGGUUUGAGGGAUAAACCAGACCAGCCAAGGGAAUGGUUCCCAGUUUUUCUGGUUGAACCAGAUGAGCUCAUCCAGGUUUGACAACGAUGAUAAAUAUAGUGCAGUUGGUUACUUUGUCACAUCUGAGACUGUUUUAGGUUUUGACAGCGUUGAACAACAUUGAGUUGGCAAGCUUUCUUCGUUGGUACGUUGCUGUGGAACUUUAU
This 713-nucleotide unclassified non-coding RNA is filed under the name Hevea brasiliensis (rubber tree). Lineage: Eukaryota; Viridiplantae; Streptophyta; Magnoliopsida; Malpighiales; Euphorbiaceae. The record is from RNAcentral.